RNAcentral lists this ribosomal RNA (289 nucleotides) under uncultured Pedobacter sp. RNAcentral's name for it is "partial 16S ribosomal RNA". Lineage: Bacteria; Pseudomonadati; Bacteroidota; Sphingobacteriia; Sphingobacteriales; Sphingobacteriaceae. The record is from RNAcentral.
CUACCGGGGUUUCUAAUCCUGUUUGAUCCCCACGCUUUCGUGCCUCAGCGUCAAUCAUACCUUGGUAAGCUGCCUUCGCAAUCGGUGUUCUGUGACAUAUCUAUGCAUUUCACCGCUACUUGUCACAUUCCGCCUACCUCAAGUAUAUUCAAGCUCAUCAGUAUCAAAGGCACUGCGAUGGUUGAGCCACCGUCUUUCACCCCUGACUUAAUAAGCCGCCUACGCACCCUUUAAACCCAAUAAAUCCGGAUAACGCUUGGAUCCUCCGUAUUACCGCGGCUGCUGGCAC